AUUUAUAUAGUUUAAAAAAACAUUAUAUUUUCAGUAUAAAAUUAAAUAAUUUUUGUAAAUA
Molecule: transfer RNA, 61 nt
Filed under: Meloe poggii
Lineage: Eukaryota; Metazoa; Arthropoda; Insecta; Coleoptera; Meloidae
Description: tRNA-Glu
Source: RNAcentral